UUCACACCAGCGACAGAAGACGAGUUCAAAUCCAUACAAGAGAGAAUGGUGGAUUUCUGAAAGCGAAACGUUGUUCAAAUCCUUAAAUUCUUGCCAUGAUGUCAUCACUAUAACCUCUACAUAGCACAUAUAUUGGUAACUCUGAGAGUUUCAUGUGGCCGACCUUGAUAUAAGCAUAUCUGGGAUGGGAUGAAUUAGAGGCACAAAGAGUAGUGAUAUCAGUAAAAAGGGAAGAAUUGGUCAACGGAUUUGGGCAGCUUAUAAAAUUAAUAGGCAAGGGUGUAUCAACAUAUGGAAUUAGGUAAUUAGGAAUAGGAUGAGGAUUUUCGUAGUAGGUGAAAUUGUAAGCAUCUAUAGAAAGGGUGGGAAAAGAGCAGAGGUCGUCAUUGUUUAUGGAAGCAUCGGCCAGCCUGAUGCAUGGAGUUGUCGUAGCCGUUUCUGUAGUUGAUGGCUUUGACAUAGUAUUUGUGAGAGUUGAGAGAGAUGGAGGUGACAUUGUUUUCGCAGGCUAACUCAAAUCUGCCAUCACCGCACUUCUUUGGAUCGCCCUUGAGGCGGAAAGGGUAGCUGAUGUUGCGAAUAAUGCCGCAGGCAGAUGGGGUGCAGUUUGCUUCACCGGUUUGAAACAAAUUAUGGAGUAGUGAGAGAAUGAAGAGAGAUGAAGUAGUGAGGAAGAUGAGGUUUUGAGUGAUCAUGGUUUAGACAACUGAUUUUGCAGUCUAUACUCUAUUUUGGAGGAGAUAUAUAUAUGAUGCAGCAUUGUAUGUAUAAUUGGGUGGACAUGAUUAAGUCUUCAAACCAGACGCCAAACAAGACUUGUGAGGUCUGUCACGCAACCUUCGUUAUCACAUUCCUAUUCAAUAGGAAGCGAAAUAUUAUUGAUACUUGAAUAAGCGCUUGUGUUAGUCAAGUGCAAUAUCGGAGAUUUUUUAUUUUUUUUAAGGACCCGCGACUCAUAGUUUUGGUCCAGACGAGGUAUACUAAUUACUCCUUUAAUUCCAUUACAAAUGUCUCAAUUUCUAUAAUGGGAUGUCCCAUUACAAAUGUCUAGUUCCUUUUUUGGUAAUAUAUUAUCUCUCUAUACACCUAAUAUUUAAAUAAAUUUCACUAACUCACUUUAUCUACUUUCUAAAUUGUACACAUUUCUUAAUCUCCGUGUCAAAAGUAAUGGGACAUUUAUAAUAGAACGGAGGAAAGAGUACAUUUUUAUGUAAUAAUAUGCAAAUCAUAUAAAGCGUGUGUACAUAACACUUGAAAAAUUAGCUAUAUUGUAAUUGUUAGGUUUUAUAUUAAUUAUGGUACGGUAUCGUAUAAAUGUUUUCUUAUUUAUCAGAUAUUCACUUUGUGUUCUAUAAUACACAUAAAAUAAUUUUCCCAUUACUAUAUAGUUUGCCCAUUUAUAUUUUUUUUUCCUGAUAAAUUAUACAAGUAAAUAAAGAAAUUUAAAGAUCGCAUGAUGAGGAACUCAAAUCCAAAACCCCACCUCAGAUAUCGGGCAUUAAUUAACCACCUACCAUUAGGCCAUUCACAUUUUUAUAUCCAUGUGGCCAACCUUCCUAUAGGUAGGGAUGUCAAUCGGGUCAGCCACCGAAUUUUCGGGCAAGUCCUAUCGGGUUCCGGGUUAAUUGGGUGCGGGCUAAUAGGGUAUGUUAGGUUUUAUAUAUAGUAAAUGUUAGGGUUGGAGAUUUUUUUGGAUUGUAAAUCUUCAACCCUAACCCUAGCUAAGCGUUCGGGUUUCAAGCUAAUCAAGUUAAAAGCGUAAAAUUAAAAUUAUCAUUUUUAUUUUAUUAUUCUUAACGAUCUAAUGUAUAAUGUAUAAAAUAUACAUAGAUGUUAAAGAUAUAAAUUAUAUAGCAAAACAUGAAAUGCAAAAAUAUAAUAUAUUCAAGAUUACAUAACAUAUAAAAUAAAUUUUUUUUUAGAGUAUAUAAAAUAGGUUAAUAACAAUAAAAUGUUUAACUUUAUUCAAAAAAUACAAAUAAAAUAUUCAACAAUAGUUUGAAAUUAAAGAAAAAAAGCAUCUAAAAAUAUCUCAAACCCUAAAAGCCUAAACUCUAAUGUAUUUUAAAUUAAAUUCAAUUUAAAAAAAAAUCAGUAGCCCAACGGGCUGGCCCGCCAACCCGACGGGCUGACCUGCUUCAACCCGCCAGCCCGAACGGGCCAGCCCGAUUUAUAAUCGGAUUGCGAUUUUUCAACUCUAACCUUCUAAUUUUGUCGGGUUAUUCGGGUCGGUCCAUAAGUUUCGAGCUGGAUUGACAUCCCAGCCUAUAGGUAUGUACUGAAUAAAUUCGAGGAAUUGUAACAAUCAUGUAACAAUCAGUGACUCGAGCUAAAGAAGGAGGAGUUAUUGAACUUGGACAAACUAAUUCAAUGAUGAUAGUCAACUGCAAAGAAAAUUACAAACACGUCCAAUAUAUUUCAUAACUCCGCGUAACCGCGUUUGAUAUUUCUGCCGCAUUAGUUAUCAACUGUGGCUUCCAUUGGUUAGAUCUAGAAGCUGAAAAGAAUUGUUCAAGCUAGAGUCAAGAGCAUGAAUAAGUCAUACGUGAAUUUAAUUAAAAUAGUUGAAAGCCUCUGUCCAAUAUCUAAAUCUAUACCAGUGAAUCACUUGUCUUCUAAAAAUAAACAGAUAGUGAAUCACUUAUACGGAAAUUAAUAAAAUAUAAAUAAACAGUUUCCUAAUUUUCUGUUUUCAUCCAUCAUCCACGAAACAUUUCAUUAAUUUUUUUAUUUUUAUCCGUCAAUAAAAUAUCUUCCUAAUCUAUUUUUAAAUAUAACUCCACUAACUAUAUAUUACAUUUACAAUUUAUUUAUUUAUUUGAAACAACUAUUACAUUUACAAUUCAUCAUAUUUAAUUGACCCACCAAUUUAUAUUUUAAUUGAGGCACUAGUAACUAAAUUAAAGCACCUUCACCCUAAUCCCACUAAUUCUUUAAUAACUUAUUAUUACUUUUUCUAAUUCGUGGGAUCGCUUCUACAUUUACUAAAUACAUUUAGCUUUGCUUAAACACUAUUUGGAUAAAAUAUGUCCGGACAAGAAAUGUUAAAUAUUUUAAAAAGUAGAUUUGUUAAAAUUUUGAUUUAAAUAUAAACCUAGUUUAGUUAGUUUUAUUGAUUUCUCACAUUGUAGUGUAUUUGUAAUUUUUUUUAUAAUUUUAUUAAUUUUUUUAUAUUUUUUGUACUUAAAAAUAUUAAAAAUAUAUAAAUAAAUUAUAUUGUGGAAAAAAUAUAAUUAAAUAAUUUUUUAUUUUAAUUUUUUUAAUAUUUAAUAUUUUUUGUUCAAAUAUUUUUUGUACAAAAUAGUAUUAGUAUUAUUAUUUUAAAAACUUGUGUAUACUUUCCUUAAUACUUUUUUUUCCACCGUCUCAUUACAAAUGUAUCACUUUCCAUAAUGGGAUGUCCCAUUAUAAAUGUCUCAUUUCAUUUUUGGCAAUAUAUUCUCUUUUUAUACCUAAUAUUUAAGUAAUUACCAUCAAUCCACUUUAUCUACUUUCUACACAUUUCUUAAUAUUCGUGCCUAAAAAUAAUGGAAUAUUUGUAAUGAGACUAACAUCUUUUAUGGGUGAAUAGACUAAUUAAUUGUAAUAGAAACUUUUAAGGUGGGGCCCACGGAGCAAUAAAUCAUGAAUGCAACGGGAGCUAGAGCUGUCUAUAUUAAUUGAUUGCUUUGACCAAGUAUUUUUUAUUUAUCACGGUUUUUGGGAGUAAAAAUUAGAGUAAAAUUUUGAGAGUCAUAUUGAGCAAUAAAAUUUAAUAUUUGACCAGGGUAGAGUAGCAUCCGUGGAGUCAAUCGUAUUUUUUGGACCGAAAUUUUAAAAAAUGAUCAUAUAUAAUUUGUAUUUUUUGAAUGAGUGGCCGAAAAUUGAGUUUCAUUACUAAAUAUAGUUAUAUGAGUGCAUAUUCUCUAAAAAUUAUCAAGACAGAUCAGCACGAUUAUUGGAAUUUGUAAUUAAGAUUUGAGUAAUGGUGUCUUAUAAACACUCAUUUUACAUAGUUUUUAUGACUUAUAUUCUGUGGAUUAAGUCGGAAUUGUGCCCAUUUUAUUGUCGUUUAGAGCUUAUUGCAUAUUAUUUCAUGAUUUCACGAUUGGGUAUAGUUUUGGCUAUUUUGGUGCAGGAAUGAGUGUUUCUUGGAGCAUGAUGAAUGAGGAUUAUGUCUAAGGGAAGAGAUGUGAUAGAAUCGAGCCUAGAAAUCGAGAAGAGACGAAGAAAAUGAGCUAUAAUCGAGAAGAUGAAGAAGACGGCGGUCAACGGCAUUGACCGCCGAAAAUGGCAUUUUUGGAGAAGUUUUUCGGCGACCAAAACGGCGGACGUCGUUCCGACCGCCAAAAUCCCUGGACGGACUUUACGUUGUGUAGUGGAUAAAAUCCGACUGACCAGCCUAGCCCUGCUCGGCAGCGCUCGACUGCCCAGCUCGAAUCUGCCUUGGCAACUCCGACUCUGCCCAGAGCGAUCCCUCUGCUCUGCCAGCGGCAUGAUCUCUCUGCUCUGGCAGAGGCGCGAUCCCUCUGCUCUGGCAGCGGCAUGAUAUCUCUGCUCUGGCAGAGGCACGACCCCUCUGCUCUAGCGGCAUGAUUUCUCGCUCUGGCAAGAGGCGCGAUCCUCUGCUCUGGACUUGGAUUUUAUUUCUACAAGUGAAGAUUCAAGUUGUUACAUUCGUUCUACUACGGGUUUUUUUUUAUAUAAUUCAGUUUUUACAAUUGCUUUCUUUUUAAUUAUAUUUAUGUUUUCUUUAAUUUGUUAUGUCUGGCUAGUUUUUUUUUAUCUAAUUCUAGGGUUUGUAAAUAGCUAAUUUGAAUUUAUGUGAUUAAUUUGUUAAUACAUUUUUGCCUUCUAGUUUAUGAUUCAUAAUUCAUGGUGCUUGAAUUCUUGUGAAUUAUUUGAUCAAUAGUUUGCAUGUGUAGCUAUUCAGUUUGAGACCUGACAGAGAUAACUGUUUAGCAGAUUCAUAAAUGUAUGAUAUGAUUUUAUUCUUGAGACCUGACGGAGAUAUGUGGAUCAUAGGGAGCUAUUCUUAGAAGCUAUUGGGAGUUAGUAGAUUAUCUUGAGACCUGACGGAGAUAGAUAAUUUAUUAAUCUAUGAUCUUUGUUGCUCUGACGAGAAUAAUUGAUUAAAUGUGUGAUCUCUCAUCAUAAUUGGAUUAAACUGGUAAAUAGGAUUAAUAGAUUAAUUGUUAAAUUUACUUAAUGAAUUUACUACCCUAGGAUCAGUCGCUUUAUCAUUUGAUUUUAUAUCUGAAUUUUUAUUUGCUUUGUUUAGUUUUCGUUUUAUUAAAUUUUUCAUACAGUUUCUUUGCCUGAAUAUUACUAGAGUCUUAUUUAGGAUUACUUAGAGUAAUUCGUUCAUCAGUCCCUGAUGAUAGAUACUUGACUUGCUAUAUAUUAUGAUUACACUGUUAGUUGCGGUAUUUUUAUUGCUAAUAAAAUUGUGAUCAGUGCCAGGGCUAAUUGGGUUCGGCUAAACCGGCCCGUGGUCAACGGUUUGCAUUGAAUCAUUGACCAUGGGCAGGUCCUGGAACCAAAACUGCCAGAAACUCGGUCUGAUUACAGGCUACCAAUCGUGAACCGGAAAUCAACUGUUAACCGUCGGAUCGGACCGCUGGUUAAAAUUGGUGUCAGAUGGCAAAUUGUAGAGGGCGUACGGUACAGGCUAGGGUCAGUCGAGGAUUUGAUUAUUGAUAAACCAACAAGAUAACAACACCAUGAUUUGAUUAUUGAUAAACAUGCUUUUUAAUUUGCACUCUUUCUAAUACAUAAUCCAGAUCCUUUAACCAAAGCGGUGUAUGCUUCACCACUUUUGAACAGUAAUCUCCACACAAGACAAAGCGUCGUGAUGAGAGAGCGAGGAUACAUAAGUAGUCGAACAUGUUUGAUCCACGAUUUGGGUUGAGUGAGACGGAUACAGAGGAAGUUGCAGACAUUCAACAUCACCAUCCAACAUUUCAAGCACUUUAUUCAUCGAUGGACGAUCACGUGGACUCGUUUGUGUGCACCAUAAUGCAACUAUGGUCAUCUUUCUUGCGAGUUUCCUUCGACUACCAUUCUCAUCAUUAUUGUCGAUUUCAUUAGCUUUUCCAAAGUCAAUGUCCUUACCUUGGUUAAAGCUAUCAUAUAUCCAAUGUGGAAAGUACUUACUAGAAUCACCAUCAUCAGUUACUAAAUCUCUGUUUAAGUUCAAUAGUCCCAUCAGCAGCAUCCCAAAACUAUACACAUCAGCCUUGUACGAGACUGGGCCAAUACUUCUGCUGACCAGUUCAGGAGCAACGUAGCCUACAGUUCCUCUAGCAGUAGUCAUGCUCACUGUCUUCUUGUCUAUAGAGCAAAAUUUUGCCAGACCAAAAUCAGAUAUUUUGGGAAUGAACUUCUCAUCAAGAAGUAUAUUGUGAGGUUUGAUGUCAAAAUGGAGGAUUUGAAAAUCACAACCUCGGUGCAAAUACUCAAUCCCGCGAGCAAUUCCAACAGCAAUAUCAAACUUCCUGUCCCAAGUAAAGGAAGUCAUUUUCUCUCGGUCGAAGAUGUAUUAUCAAGGGAACCAUUGGGCAUGAAAUCAAAGACAAGCGCACGCUUUGAGCCUUGUGCACAGUAUCCAACCAAUGUGAUGACAUUGACAUGGUGGAUCCUUCCAAUAGUAGCAAUUUCAUUCAUAAAGUCUCGGCCAUUUCCUCCAGAUUUUCCGAGCAUUUUGACUGCUACAUGAUGGCCACUUCGGAGCUUCCCUUUGUAAACAAAACCAUACCCUCCUUCGCCUAGUUUAUCUUGAAAAUUCUUAGUCAUAUUCUUUAUGUCUGAAUACGAGUACCUGAUUGGCACAAGUUUGUUGUCACUGUGAAGGAAGGAUUCUAUAUCAACAAAUAUCGCCUUUGGUAUUUGUAGAUUAAAAGCCACACUAGAUAAGGGCAUGCAAUGAUUAGCUUUGGUGCAGAGAUGAUGAUGCCUGCGAUGACAUCGAAAAAGAAACUGAUCACAAUUCCUCAAUUUUGAAAAUGAACAAAUAUUAGCCUAGUAGUAUCCCUCAUCUAUGUAAUGGUGAAAGAUUAGAGUUGGAUCUUCAUUCCCCUUCCCCAACUAAUAAAACAAAACAUAUAUGUAAGUACAUAAAUAGAUUAAUUGAUACUCUUCAGAAGGAAAAACUUAUACAGAUCAUAGCUUAAAAGAGUAACUACAACAAAACUUAAUAACUCACCACUAAUUAACAUAUCAACCGCGACCGCUAGCAAAUCAGUGACCAACGCCCAUGUGUCGGUCUCUGCAAGCACACCAAAUACAUGGUAGGUUUAGUGUGGAUAUUAGAGAAACUAGAGUAAAAUGAUAGAUUUAACAGUCUCUAUAUUUAUCAAUCACUAAAGGCUACUUGUGUCAAUACAUUCAUUUGUAAAAAAAACUCCUCAAAUAUAAGCUUAUAAAUGAAUUUUUCCGGAGGAGAAUUGGUUUAUCAGCAAAAACUCCAAUACCUCACUAUAUAUUACAACUUCAAAUAUGUAGACAAUAUAUAGUAAGUAGUAAUAGAUCAUAAACUAAGAGCGCACCAUGGUCUGCUUCAUCAAAUGAAAGGGUCCCUGUGAUCACAAUACAUACAUGAUAAUUGAUAAGCAAUAUGAAAGAAAUAAAAGUAGAAAGACAGAGCAUGAGGCUAAAGAGAUGACUCUGUUUUUUUUAAAGGAUUCUUACAUUUUUGUGUCAGUCGAAAGACAAUAAAUAAGAGUCCUAAUAAACCGGUGAAUCCAAUUACGAUAAUCAAGGGGAAGCUCACCCCUGCACAAACAAGAACUGGAAUGUUUUUGACAAAAUUAGAAAAUUUCUUGCCCAAAAUUGAAGCAAUCUUGUCCACUAUGCUGUCAUCACUAAGUUUAGUCUCAGAAAAUCUAAUAGGAAAAAAGUGUCAAGUAUUUAGUGAGACAUAUACUAAUUAGUGUAAGUGCGCACCUACAAAGACCAAAGGAAUCCAGAGAAGCUCUGCAGAUGAUAGAUGGCAGUGAGGAUUAUUAAAUAAGUAUGUUGAAAUUCAUAAACAGAAAAUGAGUGUGUGAUUCCUUACCUUUAUUUGCUUUGGAGAAGAAUAGUUUGAGUUUCUCUGCAUUGCCCAGAACAGAAAAGCAUUAACAAAAAGCAAAGGAAAUCCAUCAUUAAAGAGUCAAGUCAACACAAGGUUAACGCAUAUUACCCCACUUUGUGGAAAAGCCCCAAUAACAGAAGGUGAGUUCAAAUCCAUACAAGAGAGAGUGGUGGAUUUCUAAAAGCGAAACGUUGUUCAAAUCCCUAAAUUUCCACGAUGUCAUGACUAUCACCUCCAAAUCGCAAGUUUGUGUUACUUGAGAAGCCUUGAUGUGGCCGACUUUGACAUAAGUAAAUCUAGGAAGGGAAGAAUUAGAGGCACAAUGAGUAAUAUCUGUAAAGAGGGAAGAAUUGUUCAAGGGAUUGGGGCAGCUGAUGAAAUGAAUGGGCAGGGCUUCAGCGUAAGCAUAUGGAAAAUGAUGAGGCUUGUAUAAAGAAUAGUUGGGAAAAGAGCAGAUGAAGUGAUUGUUUAUGGAAGCAUCGACGAGCCUAAUGGUGGAGCCGCUGGCGGCGUAGUUGAUUUGUGAGACGUAGUAUUUGUGAGAAUUAAGAGAGAUGGAGGUGACAUUGUUUCACGUGAUUAUCUUGUCAUUGAGGUCCUAAAAUGCCAGAAUUCGGUACUAAAUUUGGCCACGUGUCGUUGCGCUCGCUCCAGUCUGGUAAUGAAGAUAAGAGAGAUGAAGGCGUAAGGCGGGGGGCCAUGCUUCAUGCUUCUUCUUCUUCUUGGCGAAUCGAUUGACUUAACAAAAUAAAUUGAAUUAUGGGUAAAUCGUAAACUACAAUAAUAUAAAUACUAAUUGAAUAUUUUAUUAUUAACUGUAAUUCAUGAUUUUUGAAAAGAAAGAAAACAGGUUAUGGGUAAAUCCUAAAUUAACAAUAUUAAAUAAAAAAAAUUUAAAGGCUUGGCCAGUUUUAUUACAGUGGACCCAAUCUAAAUUUACUAAUUAGGAAUGGAAUAAAAUAUUGCGUACAAUUAUAAUCAAUAUUUAAAGUGUGGUUAAUUUCUCAGAAAAUUGAACAAAUUUUGAAAAUUCGUAAAAAUAGAAUGAACCCCGAGUAACUGAGCGGAUGCAUCGAAAAGCGUGUUUGCUUAACAGGUAAAAUAUAGCAUUUUAAAGUUCAAAUCGAUUUAUUUUGAAAUUCAUCUCGAACUAAUUUUUCUGUCACCAAAAAAUCUAGAUGGCAACCAAAAGUGUGGAAAAUCAAGCCGGAUAAAAAACAAUUAACGUGAAGAAGUUUAUUAUUCUACAACGACUAUAUUUAAAAUUUUAUCGUAAAUGAAAAAUUAUAUAAAAAAAAAUACGUUCCACAUACGUUCCACAAAAUUCUCCAUUUCAAUAUAUUCAUUUCGUCUCAAUUUAAUAUGCUACAUUUUUUUAUCUGGAAGUCUCAUUUUAAUAGAUCACUUUCUAAAAUGAAAAAUUAAUAUAUAACAAAUAAUCUCACAUAACGCAUUUUAUACAUUGUAUAUAAUUGUGGCUCACACAUAGUUAUCUUUUAUCUCAUUUAAAAAAAUAUUUUAAAUUUUUUUCCUUUUUUUUCAACAGUAUAUCUUCAAAAAAUUACUUUCACUCUCCUGUUUUAUUUCGAACUAUUUUUGUUUCUUAACAUCCAUGUCCAGACAUUGUGACUUAUUGAAUUGGGUCGGCGAGAGUAUUUUUUUUUUGGUAAUUCUAAACACAGCCCUCAAAUUACUCAUUGUAGCCCCCAAUUUAUAAAAAUAAUAAAUAUAAUAAUAAAUGUACAAUUUUACCCAUGUAAUCCCUAAAUUAAAUUAUAUUCAUAUUUUUACAUUUUCGGUAUUCUCAUACCCACAACUUUCAUCGGAAUUUGUAUUAUCAUUUAGAUUAGAAUUAGAUUCCGGAGGCAGACAUCGCGCAAAGUCUCUCUGAUCUAAAUCUGCAGCCCACAUCCUAAAAAGUGUGAUUUUUUUUCCAAAUUUAUAUCUACUGUUGCUGGUAUUUUAUUGAAUUUAUGUUCAGGUUUCUUGAGAUUAUAUUUGAAACUUCUGUUUCUUUGAUUCCUCAGAACCCAAUUCGUCUUCUUUUAAUUGGUUUACUUCUGUAUUCAGAGUGAAAAAAAUUAUUAUAAGUAAAAUUCCAACGCCAUUAAGUUACAGUAAAUUGAGUCAACUACAUCCAUGGAGGGAGCCCACGGAUCAAACAAAAAUCUUCAUCUUAUUCUCUUUUUCUUUCUUCUUUUUAUAUAUUCAAUUUUUAAAAUAAAAUACUAAAAAAUAGCGAUUAACACAAACAAUUAUACUUACUUGCUAGUUAGGUCGAUAAAAGUUGUGUAUCAUAUUUCUUUGUUGAAGGUUUUGAAGUUGGUGAGUUGUGUACCAUAUUUCUUUGUUGGAGGUUUUGAAGUCGACGGCUAUGGAUUAAAAAAGUUUGAUUUUGCAGGUUUUGAAGUGGGUGGCUAUGAGAGUAAUAAAAAUAUUUAUUUAGAUUAAAUUAUAGUAUUAUUUAUUAAAAACGUGAUUUGGGGGUUAUAAGGACAAAAUUGUAAAUUUUAUAAUUAUUUUUAUUAUUUUCUAAAUCAAGCGCUAUAAUGAAUAAAUUGGAGGCUAUAAAUAGAAUCUCCCUUUCUUUUUUUCCUCUUAUUCCAUUUAUGGCAAAUUUCCAUUUUCAUUGGACAAUCCCUUUUUCCAUAAGAUAAACCCCAAUGGGAAAGAAUCACUCCAGUAACAAAUCAAUAUGAAUAUUUAAUUUCACCGUGUUUUAUCAUUGAGAGACUUCCAAAGGAAGUAAAAGUACCCAUCCCACUUUCCGCAGAGAUGAUCGAGUCUUCUUCAAAUAGAGUUUACCACAGAUCAUAAUUAUUCCUACGCUAAUUCUCAUGUGCAGUCAAUCGCAUAUGAUGCUAACGGUUUGAAAGUUUAUAUGUUUUUACAAUAAUAUUUAUUUUUAUAUAUAAGAAUUUUUACUUUUAGUUAUUUUCACUCAUUAAUACUUUUAUUCUUAACUAUUUGGUAGAGUAAUCAUUAUCGUAAUAAAAAGUAACUAUUGUUACAAUAAAAUGUAAUAUUUCUAAAUUUAUUACAUUUGUUCACGAUAAGUGUUACUUUUAUUCAUGAAAACUUGUACUAUUACGUAAGUAUACAUUUGUGCUACAAAUGUAUAUCUUAUGCUUAUUAAAAGUAAUCGUCCGCAUACUAUGUGGUCAACCGCAUGCAAGACCAACUCUUAUUCCUAUAAUUACUGUAUUUUCAUUCCGCGUGCUAUUAUUCCUAUACUUAUAUAUAUAGGGUGCGUUCUCUUUGGUUGUAAAUUUAUCAUGGAAAAAAGAAGGAUAAACAAAAUUUCAUCAUUUAAAUCAUUCCUUUCUUCCCCACAUUUCCUACUUGACCAUUACUCAUUCCUCAUUUACACUACAAAUGAGGGAUAAUAUUAUCACAUCAUUUAAAUGAGGAAUGAGUAUGGGUCAAGUAGAAAAUGUGGGAAAAGAAAGAAAGGAUUUAAAUUGUGAAAUUUUAUUUAUCAUUCAUUUUCCUAUGAUAAAUUUACAACCAAAGAGAACGCACUCAUAGUAUAUUUUCCUUUGUCUUUUUCCUUUAAGUUUGUGGCAUACUUGUACAUAUAAGUCAAAACCCUCCUAAUAUAGUGUUGAAAGCUAGUAAAUUAUAUCGUAGGAGACCCAAUAAAUCAAAUAAAUUAGUAGUAAUAUAACUAGAUUAAUUUUAAGUUAUCAGGUAAUCCUAAUAUCGACGCAUCUUGCUGGCACACCAAGGUCGAUUGUUUUUGUAAUUAAGCACUGAGCCGAUGGAUGAUGUAUAAAGUUUAAAUGGAAAAUGGUAAUUAUAUAUAGAUCGAUGUUGUAUUUCAUAUAGCACAACAUGCAUGAGCUCCUCAUAUGGUGGUACCUCCACUGUACAGAUUAAAAGCUUUCGCACCCAAUAAAAAUACGAUCGAGCUAGUAUCUGCUUGUACAACUUGUUGCACCAUACAACACGAUGGUGCAGAGAAGUAAUAUAUAUUAAUUGUUGAAAAUAAUCACUAGUUGAGCAUCUAGCUCAGUUGGUUCAAAACUCACAAGCAACGCCAUAUUUUCUCCUUCUUAACUUCACUCAAACAAAUCUACAUAUUACGAAUGAUAUUUUUAAUGCAUGCAAAUGAUACUUUUAAUUAUAUGACAGUGCAUGUAGACUCUAACCUCCUAGAUGCUCAAUUGAUGAUUUCUCACAGCCAUUAAUAUACAUGUCUUCCUUGCAUCAUCAUAUUGUAUGAUACAACCAAUUGUACAAAAUAAUUUGUGUACAAAAUAUUAAUAGCAUUUAAGAUGACUUCAUCAAUCUUGAUCAUGAAACGUGGAAUGGAUCACUGAAUGACUUAAUUAUAAGUCUUCUAUAGAGUUCUGGCCAAUGAAAAUAUUUUCUCCUCCACAAGCCCCACAUGACCCACCAACAAGAAAAGUAAGUAACAAACAAACAAUACUGUUUGUUUGAUCAAGUCAAUCUUGAUAGGUACAAAAACCAAAAGUGGGAUCCAAUUCAAUCAGGGCUGGCCCUGAGGGCGGGCGGGCGGGCAGGCAUGGCCCAGGGCCCCCAUCAUUAAAAUAAAUGAAAAAUCCUACAAUGUCAAUCAAGUUGUAUUGAGUGAAAUGAUCAGAAUGAUUGAAGUGAAGAUCAAUGUAAUUGCAUACGAAACAUAAAUAGAUGCUUACGAAGAACUUGUAAAAAAAUUGGCAACAAAGUGUAGCAACGAUCUGCUUAUAGUACAUUGUCAAUGCAAAUAUGUACACCCUGAUAUCAAUAAGGCCCAUUUUCACUCUGUAAGUCUUGAACAAUAAUCUCAACACUGGGUGAAGCAUCAUCAUAA
Molecule: long non-coding RNA, 12869 nt
Filed under: Salvia miltiorrhiza (redroot sage)
Lineage: Eukaryota; Viridiplantae; Streptophyta; Magnoliopsida; Lamiales; Lamiaceae
Description: long non-coding RNA (SMIL_LNC007447)
Source: RNAcentral